AUUGAACGCUGGCGGCAUGCUUUACACAUGCAAGUCGAACGGCAGCAUAGGAGCUUGCUCCUGAUGGCGAGUGGCGAACGGGUGAGUAAUAUAUCGGAACGUGCCCUAGAGUGGGGGAUAACUAGUCGAAAGACUAGCUAAUACCGCAUACGAUCUACGGAUGAAAGUGGGGGACCGCAAGACCUCAUGCUCCUGGAGCGGCCGAUAUCUGAUUAGCUAGUUGGUGGGGUAAAAGCCUACCAAGGCAACGAUCAGUAGCUGGUCUGAGAGGACGACCAGCCACACUGGGACUGAGACACGGCCCAGACUCCUACGGGAGGCAGCAGUGGGGAAUUUUGGACAAUGGGGGCAACCCUGAUCCAGCAAUGCCGCGUGAGUGAAGAAGGCCUUCGGGUUGUAAAGCUCUUUUGUCAGGGAAGAAACGGUAGUAGCGAAUAACUAUUACUAAUGACGGUACCUGAAGAAUAAGCACCGGCUAACUACGUGCCAGCAGCCGCAGUAA
RNAcentral lists this ribosomal RNA (502 nucleotides) under uncultured bacterium. Its description in RNAcentral is "partial 16S ribosomal RNA". It matches the Rfam family "Bacterial small subunit ribosomal RNA", at positions 30 to 523 of the family's 1533-position model. The record is from RNAcentral.